ACCGGUUGCCUCCGUCGUGCUGGCGCAUUUGUAGUGAACAACAGCAGAGUCCGAAUAUGCUUUUCGGAAGUCGUUUCUAAGAGCACUCUACCGGGGCAUCAUCGGAGAUUGCAUCGACCUCGGUAGUGUUCUGCUACGCCCGUUCAAGGGGUUAUCCCCGACCGGUGGCCGUGGGAACGUGGAAAUGGUGCCACGGAUUCAUUCAUAAAUGGUGACUCGUAAGCACGAGGUUUCACUGUGACUUUUCAGCGUGUCGAGGUUUACAUAUAUACAAGCGAAAGAUAUUUAACCGAAAAACCGUAUCCGCUUAAAAGCCUGUUACUAGGUGGCAGCAGGUGACUUGGCAGACAGCGGCAUCAAAACACCGCUAGUGAAUGGACGCGAAAGACACGGAAGAGGCUACAUAGGAAAAGACAAUGGCAUGCACUGAUAUCAGAAUAUUUUCUCGCAAGAUGCCAAUAUUCAUAAUAGAGGCAUCAAAUCACCGACGGCAGAUGGAGAAGACAGAGACUGCAGGACCAAAAAUUACGUUUGAUUUUUUGGCUUCUGGUUAUAGUACGCGUGUACUUACUUGUACAUGCCCAAAAACGUAUACGUGCGUAAGCAUGCACGCACACAAACAGAUCGCUACACACCCGUGAAUACGCGUACG
Molecule: long non-coding RNA, 652 nt
Organism: Priapulus caudatus
Lineage: Eukaryota; Metazoa; Priapulida; Priapulimorpha; Priapulimorphida; Priapulidae
Exons: 4
Source: RefSeq, a predicted model, not a curated record